This 481-nucleotide ribosomal RNA is filed under the name uncultured bacterium. RNAcentral describes it as "partial 16S ribosomal RNA". It matches the Rfam family "Bacterial small subunit ribosomal RNA", at positions 28 to 507 of the family's 1533-position model. The record is from RNAcentral.
GAUGAACGCUGGCGGCGUGCCUGACACAUGCAAGUCGAACGGAGAUUCCGGACGGAAGUUUUCGGAUGGAAGACUGUAAUUCUUAGUGGCGGACGGGUGAGUAACGCGUGGGCAACCUGCCCUAUACAGGGGGAUAGCAGCUGGAAACGGCUGGUAAGACCGCAUAAGUCGGUUAAAUCGCAUGAUUUGAUCGGGAAAUGAGCAAUCAGGUAUAGGAUGGGCCCGCGUCCGAUUAGCCAGUUGGCAGGGUAAAAGCCUACCAAAGCGACGAUCGGUAGCCGGACUGAGAGGUCGGACGGCCACAUUGGGACUGAGACACGGCCCAAACUCCUACGGGAGGCAGCAGUGGGGGAUAUUGCACAAUGGAGGAAACUCUGAUGCAGCGACGCCGCGUGAGUGAAGAAGUAUUUCGGUAUGUAAAGCUCUAUCAGCAGGGAAGAUGAUGACGGUACCUGACUAAGAAGCCCCGGCUAACUACGUG